Gavialis gangeticus (Gharial) is the source of this 2396-nucleotide long non-coding RNA. RefSeq lists it as uncharacterized. NCBI's taxonomy places the organism in Eukaryota, Metazoa, Chordata, Crocodylia, Gavialidae. The transcript is spliced from 3 exons. The record is from RefSeq and is a predicted model, not a curated record.
UGGCUGCCUGUGCUGUCUGUCCCAGGGAAGCAGGCAGGGAAGGAUUAAAGUGCCUCCCUGUCUGCAAUUCUCUGGGCCAGAAGAGCAGCAGCCCAGCAGCUUUGGUGGCCAGGGAGGCAGAUUAACGCUUCCCUGCUCACUCCCCUAGAAAGAACAGAAUGGGCAGCCACAAGAAUGUGGGUCUUAUGGAGGUCAGGGUCAUCUUUCCCAUCCAUCUGUGUCCUGAUGCUAUGGCAGCAGUUAAGUGUGCUAGCUGGAAGGUCAAGACCAGCACCAUGAAUUGCACCCAGGAAGCUACUGAGAGCCACUGCAGACUCCGGAGCACUGGAGUAAUGUGCUUUUGUCAAUCUGCCUGCUUGUUCCUGUCAAAAGGUAAGCUGCUGCAUUCAAACUAGCUGCAAAUUCCAGACAGUCCUCAAGGUAGGUGCACAUAGACCACAUUGCAGUAGUCUAGCCUCAGUGUUACAAAAACAUGGAUGAUGGUGGCCAGAUCUGAAUCUAAAAUAAAAGUUUGCAGACAGAUGGAAGGUGCUUCCAGCUACCACCACAUCCAAAGAAAAAGGAAUCCAGGAGCAUCCCCAUGUUGAGGACCUGAGUGACAACAGGAAACUGAACCCCAUCAAUAAUAGAUGUCUACCUCCCUACCCCACAAGCCAUGAAGUCUUCCACCACCAUCACCUCUGUCUUGCCCAGAUUCAUCUUCAGAUUCAGGAGAGACAGAACUGGGUGUCGCCAGCAUACUGAUGGCAUCUCACUCCAGAUCCCCACCCAAUCUUGACCAGUUGAACACAAGAAGUGACAAGAUGGAAUCCCAGGGAGCCCCAUGGGAAAGGUCCUGAAGGGAAGAUGAACAUUCAACCAUCACCACCCUAGGAGAGUGCAGAACCAGUUAAGAAAAUUCCUAUGAAAACCUACAUGAUCAAACAGAUGUGUUAUCAACACCUAAAGGUUAACUGUAUCAAACACUGCUGAAAGAUCUAAUCAGAGCAGCAGUGAAAUUUCCCCUGUUUAUCCCUAGGGGAAGAUCAACAACGGGUUGACGUGGUGUCCGGAAAAGCCCCAUCACUGUGCACGGGUGGACCUGGUGCCUGAGAGGCCUGCCAUUCAAAAGCAUGGGUUGACGUGGUGCCCGAGAGGCCUCCCAUUCAAAUGCAUGGGUUGACCCAGUAUCCAGGAGGCCUGCUAUUCAAAUGGAUGGGUUGAUGUGGAGUCCCAAAAGGUCCCAUUGCCAGGCCCGGGUUGACCUGGUGCCAGGGAGGCCUGCCAUUCAAAUACAUGGGUUGAGGUGGUGUCCAGAAAAGCCCCACUUCUGGGCCUGGGUUGACCUGGUGCCAGAGAGGCCUGCCAUUCAAAAUACAUGGGUUGAGGUGGUGUCUGGAAAAGCCCCAUUUCUGGGCCUGGGUUGACCUGGUGCCUGGGAGGCCUGCCAGUCAAAUACAUGGAUGGACAUAGUGUCUGGAAAAGCCUCAUUGCCAGGCCUGGGUUGACUUGGUGCCAUAGAGGCCUGCCAUUCAAAUGCCUGGGUUCAUGUGGUGUCCGGAAAAGCCCCACUGCCAGGUCUGGGUUGACCUGGUGCCUAAGAGGCCUGCCAUUCAAAUGCCUAGGGUUGACGUGGUGUCCAGAAAGGCCCCAUUCCCCAGGCACGGGUUGACCUGGUGCCAGAGAGGCCUGCCAUUCAGAUGCCUGGGUUGAUGUGGUGCCAGAAAAGCUUGCCAUUCAAAUGCCCAGGUUGAUGUGGUGUCCAGAAAGGCCCUGUCCCUGGGCCCGGGUUGACCUGGUGACCAAGAGGCUUCUUGUUCAAAUGCCUAGGUUGACCUAGUGCCAGGGAGGCCUGCCAUUGAAAUGCAUGGAUUGACUUGGUGUCCGAAAAAGCCCCAUUGCCAGGCCUGGGUUGACUUGGUGCCAGAGAGACCUGCCAUUCAAAUGCCCAGGUUGAUGUGGUGUCCAGAAAAGCCCCAUCAUCAGGCCUGGGUUGACCUGGUGACCAAGAGGCUUCUUGUUCAAAUGCCUGGGUUGACCUGGUGCCUGGGAGGCCUGCCAUUCAAAUGCAUGGGUUGACUUCAUGCCUGAUGGGCCUGCCAUUUAAAUGCAUGGAUUGACGUGAUGUCCAAAAAGCACCCAUUGCCAGGCGCAGGUUGACUUGGUGCCCAGGCAGCUUAUCAUUUAAGUCCAAGGGUUGAGGUGGUGUCUGGAAAAGCCCCAUUGCUGGGUGUGGGUUGACCUGGUGCCUAAGAUGCCUCCCACAGGAAUGAAUGGGUUGACCUGGUGUCCAAAAAGCCUCCCAUAGGAAUGAAUGGGUUGACCUGGUGCCCAGUCAGCACCUGGAAGUCCAUAGGGGUCAUGCAAAAUGCAUGCCCUGACCCUUCAAUCCAAGAGAAUGGAUCCAUUUGGUGGCU